Molecule: ribosomal RNA, 701 nt
Filed under: uncultured Moraxellaceae bacterium
Lineage: Bacteria; Pseudomonadati; Pseudomonadota; Gammaproteobacteria; Moraxellales; Moraxellaceae
Description: bacterial SSU rRNA
Rfam family: Bacterial small subunit ribosomal RNA
Source: RNAcentral
AGAGUUUGAUCCUGGCUCAGAUCGAACGCUGGCGGCAGGCUUAACACAUGCAAGUCGAGCGGAGAUGAGGUGCUUGCACCUUAUCUUAGCGGCGGACGGGUGAGUAAUGCUUAGGAAUCUGCCUAUUAGUGGGGGACAACAUUCCGAAAGGAAUGCUAAUACCGCAUACGUCCUACGGGAGAAAGCAGGGGAUCUUCGGACCUUGCGCUAAUAGAUGAGCCUAAGUCGGAUUAGCUAGUUGGUGGGGUAAAGGCCUACCGAGGCGACGAUCUGUAGCGGGUCUGAGAGGAUGAUCCGCCACACUGGGACUGAGACACGGCCCAGACUCCUACGGGAGGCAGCAGUGGGGAAUAUUGGACAAUGGGGGGAACCCUGAUCCAGCCAUGCCGCGUGUGUGAAGAAGGCCUUAUGGUUGUAAAGCACUUUAAGCGAGGAGGAGGCUACUGAGACUAAUACUCUUGGAUAGUGGACGUUACUCGCAGAAUAAGCACCGGCUAACUCUGUGCCAGCAGCCGCGGUAAUACAGAGGGUGCGAGCGUUAAUCGGAUUUACUGGGCGUAAAGCGUGCGUAGGCGGCUUUUUAAGUCGGAUGUGAAAUCCCCGAGCUUAACUUGGGAAUUGCAUUCGAUACUGGGAAGCUAGAGUAUGGGAGAAGAUGGGGAGAAAUCCAGGUGUAGCGGUGAAAUGCGUAGAGAUCUGGA